CCCAGAUUACUGCAGAAACCCAUCCCCUUCACUGAACUCCCUGACCUCCAGACUGAGUCCUUGUGCUUCCUGUCUGAUCUGCCACUUGCAUAAACCCCAUCUUUCAGCUCCUCUUAGGAGGAUGCUCAAUGCUCAAAGCUAUUUUCAGUCCCGAUACAGGGAAGGAAUGCAUACAGACACCAACGUGAUCUUCUUCACACCGGUUUACCAAUGAUUUCAACCUUGACCCAAAGGGAACACUUCUUCUGGAAGUGACAGGGAAUCUUCCAGCUGUAUCAGGAAGACCUUCACAAGAAGAUUCCUCCCUGCAUUUCUCCCAGGCUUACAUUUGUCGCCAUACCAAAGACAUACCAGUGUUAAAUAUAUAAUUUCUUUUCUUGGCAAUUUUAGAAGCUUCUCCCUCAAGAAAUCUUGGAGGCAGAUUCCUUUCAACUCAAGGACGGGCAGAUUUUAUCCAUUAAAGAUGGGAUGUAAAUGGAGGCAACCUUCCACAACAUCCUCCCCUCCCCACAUAUACAUACAUUUCCAGCCUGGUUUCUGGAGUGCAGACAGAGAAUCUCAUUAGGAAUCUAAUAUAAUAAGGGCAUGUAGAUACUGGGGUUGGGGGUUGGAAAUCAGAUUAGCUUCAUUACUUUAUUCUGCACCUCACAGCGCUUCUGCCAGUGGACAAUUGCAUUAGAUCAGAGAGGAGAUCAAAAGGCAAAAACUCCCCAGAAAUGCUGCUGCUCACUGUCUGAGACAGGAAUGGAAAAAGUGCACUGUUGGAGGACACAGACCCACGGUAGAUACCUGACACAUUUUGGAAGGGCAGUAAUUUUUUUCUUUGAACUUUGCCUAUUGAGCUUUUGGUGCUUGCUAGGCCAGUCUAGAUUCCAAUGCACAGAGACAUGAAGGAAACUAAACAACUUGUUCAAGUGUAAGCAAGUAG
Molecule: long non-coding RNA, 928 nt
Filed under: Cyanistes caeruleus (blue tit)
Lineage: Eukaryota; Metazoa; Chordata; Aves; Passeriformes; Paridae
Description: lncRNA (ENSCCEG00000015455.1)
Source: RNAcentral